UGUGCUGUCAUUGGGGAGUAGCCUCCCUCCUUCCUGCUUGUUACAGGAAUUGAGAGGGGUUUGCGUCAACACACUUGUCUGGCCUCGGAAUAUCGUUGAGAUACCGAGGCCAACAUGGCGCAAACGGUUCAGACUUGGCGAGACCUUUGACUGCACAGCCUCCGUUCAGGCCGGAGAUGCCGUGCAGUCAUGGGUUUUAUCCGGCCGGGGUCACU
This 215-nucleotide small RNA is filed under the name Burkholderiales bacterium. RNAcentral describes it as "Manganese sequence". It matches the Rfam family "Manganese Mn2+ riboswitch aptamer (yybP-ykoY)". From Rfam's summary of the family: This RNA was originally discovered in E. coli during a large scale screen and was named SraF. The family was later found to exist upstream of related families of protein genes in many bacteria, including the the yybP and ykoK genes in B. subtilis. Lineage: Bacteria; Pseudomonadati; Pseudomonadota; Betaproteobacteria; Burkholderiales. The record is from RNAcentral.